This 194-nucleotide ribosomal RNA is filed under the name uncultured bacterium. RNAcentral's name for it is "partial 16S ribosomal RNA". It matches the Rfam family "Bacterial small subunit ribosomal RNA", at positions 1293 to 1500 of the family's 1533-position model. The record is from RNAcentral.
UCGGAUUGUAGGCUGAAACUCGCCUACAUGAAGCUGGAAUUGCUAGUAAUCACAGGUCAGCAUACUGUGGUGAAUACGUUCCCGGGCCUUGUACACACCGCCCGUCACACCAUGAGAGUUGAGAAUACCCGAAGCCCAUGUCAAAGUGGUCGAGGGUAGGCUUGAUGAUUGGGGUGAAGUCGUAACAAGGUAUC